RNAcentral lists this small RNA (562 nucleotides) under Pongo abelii (Sumatran orangutan). RNAcentral's name for it is "processed transcript". The record is from RNAcentral. Lineage: Eukaryota; Metazoa; Chordata; Mammalia; Primates; Hominidae.
UGAGAUGGAUGAGUCCAAAGAAGGCUCUAUUCAGGGACUGGAAGAAAUGCAGGUUGAAAGAGAGGGCUCCUUAAACCCAUCCCUGAAUGAGGAGAAUGUGAAGAGUCAAGGAGAAAAGAAGGAGGAGUCAGAGGAGGAAGAUGAGAAGGAGGAAGAGGAGGAGGAGGAGAAGCUGGAGGAAGAGAAGGAGGAGAAGGAGGCACAGGAAGAGCAAGAGAGUUUAUCUGUGGGUGAGCCGAGCUUUUGCUUCAUCAAGAGCGGUUGGACAGCCAUUGUGCUGGGGUGAUCGAGACGCUGAAGAAGAAGCGGCUGAUGUUCUGCCAGUUCCAAGAAGAGCAAAACGUGAGGAGCAAAAACUUCCGCCUUAAGAUCUAUGACAUGGAACACAUCUUCUUGAAUGCCACCAGGAGCCAAAAGCUGGUCACUCUCAGCAACACACUGCACCAGGAGUUGCUUAGCUAUGUUGAUGUCACCCAGGUGUCCCUGCGCAGCUUCCGGCAGUACUUGGAGGAGAGUCUGGGCAAACUCCGUUACUCAAAUAUUGAGUUCAUCAGACACUGCA